CUUGGUCAUUUAGAGGAAGUAAAUGUCGUGACCAUGUUUCCGAUAGGUGAACCUGACGGAAGGAUCAUUCAUAAUCAAGUGUUUUUAUGGCACUUUAAAAAUCCAUAUACCACCUUGUGUGCAAUGUCAUCUCACUGGAAGGUCACGGCUGUAAAAAUCCGGCGGCCAACCUAUUGGGAUUUAUAUCUACUCAGAACUUUAGGUGAUUUUGUCUGAAACAUAUUAUGAAUAACUUAAUUCAAAAUACAACUUUCAACAACGGAUCUCUUGGCUCUCGCAUCGAUGAAGAACGCAGCGAGAUGCGAUACGUAAUGUGAAUUGCAGAAUUCAGUGAAUCAUCGAAUCUCUGACGCAUAUUGCGCUCUCUGGUAUUCCGAGAGAGCAUGCUUGUUUGAGUAUCAGUAAACACCUCAACUCCUUUUUCUUUUUUGAAAUUGGAGCUGGACUUGAGAUGAUCCCAACGCUUUCUUCCAAGAAAGUGGCGGGUUGCUUGAAAUGCAGGUGCAGCUGAACUUUUCUCUGAGCUAUAAGCAUAUCUAUUUAGUUCUGCCUAAAAAACAGAUUAUUACCUUGCUGCAGCUAACAUAAAGGAGACUAGUUCUUGUGCUGACUGAUGCAGGUAUUCACAGAGACAGCUUCGGCUGACUUGUAAACUCGAUCUCAAAUCAAGUAAGACUGCCCGCUGAACUUAAGCAUAUCAAUA
RNAcentral lists this ribosomal RNA (703 nucleotides) under Mortierellales sp. 6_134A. RNAcentral describes it as "eukaryotic LSU rRNA". The stretch from base 248 to 401 matches the Rfam family "5.8S ribosomal RNA". The record is from RNAcentral. Lineage: Eukaryota; Fungi; Mortierellomycota; Mortierellomycetes; Mortierellales.